AACGCACGAGACCUGCGGACCUGCGGAAGGAUCAUUACCGAGUUUACAACUCCCAAACCCCUGUGAACUUAUACCUUUACUGUUGCUUCGGCGGGUCAUUGCCCCGGGGAAACAGGUGCCGCCAGGUCCCUGCCCCCCCGGAAACAGGCGCCCGCCGGGGGACUCAAACUCUUCUGUAUUUUUUGUUUACUGUAUACUGUCUGAGUAAAAAUUCAUAAUGAAUCAAAACUUUCAGCAACG
This 240-nucleotide unclassified non-coding RNA is filed under the name soil metagenome. RNAcentral's name for it is "partial contains 5.8S ribosomal RNA, internal transcribed spacer 2, and large subunit ribosomal RNA". The record is from RNAcentral.